RNAcentral lists this ribosomal RNA (271 nucleotides) under uncultured bacterium. Its description in RNAcentral is "partial 16S ribosomal RNA". It matches the Rfam family "Bacterial small subunit ribosomal RNA", at positions 86 to 354 of the family's 1533-position model. The record is from RNAcentral.
CCCGGGCGACCGGCGCACGGGUGAGCAACACGUAUGCAACCUGGCCGCCACAGGGGGAUAACCCGCGGAAACGCGGCCUAAUACCCCGUGACGCCACCGGAGGGCAUCCUCCGGUGGCCAAAGGAGCGAUCCGGUGGCGGAUGGGCAUGCGGCGCAUUAGCUAGGACGGCGGGGUGACGGCCCACCGUGGCGACGAUGCGUAGGGGUUCUGAGAGGAAGGCCCCCCACACUGGGACUGAGACACGGCCCAGACUCCUACGGGAGGCAGCAG